GGGUGGGAGCCCGAGGCUGGAGGAGACCCGCGGCUGCUGCCUGCCUGGCAGCAGCUCACAGAGACCCGGGUUCUGCUGACUACUGGCGUCCGCGCUCGCUGGAUGGAUGGCUUCUCUGAAAACAUCAGCUCCGAGGAGAUCUUGAGAACAGGGGCCAGCCCUCGGCAGGCUCCUGUCCAGCCAGUCUCCUCCGAGAAAGGUGAAGCCAAAGCCCCAGGUGACAGCCAAGGAAGCAGGAAACAGGGCCUCCUCACCCCAACCCUCCAGAGGUCAAGGGGAGAAAGUGGACAACAGACAGGCCACAAGGUUACUUACAGCUAAGAAACAAGAGGUCUCCAAAAAUGAGGUACUAAAGCUCCAAAGAGGUGCCAGAAUUCCACUUUAACACUUCCUGACCAGGGGUGACGUGUGCGUGGCUCAGCCGGUUUAAGCGACAGACUACGGCUCAGGUCACGAUCUUGCGUUUUGUGGGUUCGAGCCCCACGCCGGGCUCUGUGCUGGCAGCUCAGA
Suricata suricatta (meerkat) is the source of this 510-nucleotide long non-coding RNA. RefSeq lists it as uncharacterized. The record is from RefSeq and is a predicted model, not a curated record. Lineage: Eukaryota; Metazoa; Chordata; Mammalia; Carnivora; Herpestidae. The transcript is spliced from 3 exons.